AGUGCGUGGACGACUAACUACAAGAUCGGACUAGUCACUUUGCUACAUGGCAACGAUGAAACAAAUCAUGUGGGUCAUCAUCCUGGUGUUACUUAUCAUCGCGCACUUUGGCAACGUCGCAGCCUUGUCAUACGAAAGAGUUUUCGACUAUGAGGUCCAUGAGUACGACGAUGACUACUCCUACGGUGACUGCACUGGAACUCUGGUGCG
Molecule: long non-coding RNA, 210 nt
Organism: Rhipicephalus microplus (southern cattle tick)
Lineage: Eukaryota; Metazoa; Arthropoda; Arachnida; Ixodida; Ixodidae
Source: RefSeq, a predicted model, not a curated record